GAUGAACGCUGGCGGCGUGCCUAAUACAUGCAAGUCGAGCGAACGGACGAGAAGCUUGCUUCUCUGAUGUUAGCGGCGGACGGGUGAGUAACACGUGGAUAACCUACCUAUAAGACUGGGAUAACUUCGGGAAACCGGAGCUAAUACCGGAUAAUAUUUUGAACCGCAUGGUUCAAAAGUGAAAGACGGUCUUGCUGUCACUUAUAGAUGGAUCCGCGCUGCAUUAGCUAGUUGGUAAGGUAACGGCUUACCAAGGCAACGAUGCAUAGCCGACCUGAGAGGGUGAUCGGCCACACUGGAACUGAGACACGGUCCAGACUCCUACGGGAGGCAGCAGUAGGGAAUCUUCCGCAAUGGGCGAAAGCCUGACGGAGCAACGCCGCGUGAGUGAUGAAGGUCUUCGGAUCGUAAAACUCUGUUAUUAGGGAAGAACAUAUGUGUAAGUAACUGUGCACAUCUUGACGGUACCUAAUCAGAAAGCCACGGCUAACUACGUGCCAGCAGCCGCGGUAAUACGUAGGUGGCAAGCGUUAUCCGGAAUUAUUGGGCGUAAAGCGCGCGUAGGCGGUUUUUUAAGUCUGAUGUGAAAGCCCACGGCUCAACCGUGGAGGGUCAUUGGAAACUGGAAAACUUGAGUGCAGAAGAGGAAAGUGGAAUUCCAUGUGUAGCGGUGAAAUGCGCAGAGAUAUGGAGGAACACCAGUGGCGAAGGCGACUUUCUGGUCUGUAACUGACGCUGAUGUGCGAAAGCGUGGGGAUCAAACAGGAUUAGAUACCCUGGUAGUCCACGCCGUAAACGAUGAGUGCUAAGUGUUAGGGGGUUUCCGCCCCUUAGUGCUGCAGCUAACGUAUUAAGCACUCCGCCUGGGGAGUACGACCGCAAGGUUGAAACUCAAAGGAAUUGACGGGGACCCGCACAAGCGGUGGAGCAUGUGGUUUAAUUCGAAGCAACGCGAAGAACCUUACCAAAUCUUGACAUCCUUUGACAACUCUAGAGAUAGAGCCUUCCCCUUCGGGGGACAAAGUGACAGGUGGUGCAUGGUUGUCGUCAGCUCGUGUCGUGAGAUGUUGGGUUAAGCCCCGCAACGAGCGCAACCCUUAAGCUUAGUUGCCAUCAUUAAGUUGGGCACUCUAAGUUGACUGCCGGUGACAAACCGGAGGAAGGUGGGGAUGACGUCAAAUCAUCAUGCCCCUUAUGAUUUGGGCUACACACGUGCUACAAUGGACAAUACAAAGGGCAGCGAAACCGCGAGGUCAAGCAAAUCCCAUAAAGUUGUUCUCAGUUCGGAUUGUAGUCUGCAACUCGACUACAUGAAGCUGGAAUCGCUAGUAAUCGUAGAUCAGCAUGCUACGGUGAAUACGUUCCCGGGUCU
RNAcentral lists this ribosomal RNA (1372 nucleotides) under uncultured bacterium. RNAcentral describes it as "bacterial SSU rRNA". It matches the Rfam family "Bacterial small subunit ribosomal RNA", at positions 28 to 1381 of the family's 1533-position model. The record is from RNAcentral.